AUGCGCUUCAUGAAGUCAGGGGUUAAGAAGCAGAAACAUGAUUUAAGUGACACUCUAGAGAUGAAGUGUUCUCCAGGGAUCGUGAUUGUCCUAUUCUUAAUGUUUGGACAAACCCAUGGAAACUCAGUGAACCAGACUGAAGGCCAGGUGACCCUCUCAGAAGAGGCUUCCUUGACUAUGAAUUGUACUUACUCAACGUCAGGGUACCAGGUCCUUUUCUGGUAUGUCCAGUAUCUGGGGGAUGGUCCACAGCUCCUCCUGAAAGCAUCAGGAGACAAGGAGAAGGGAAGUAACAAAGGAUUUGAAGCCACUUUGGACAGCUCAUCCAAAUCCUUCCACUUGAAGAAAGGCUCACUGCAAGUGUCAGACUCAGCUGUGUACUACUGUGUCAUGAGUGACACAGUGAUGGGGACUGCAGGGGGAGCUGAGCACAAACUCUGA
Non-coding RNA from Nyctereutes procyonoides (raccoon dog), 441 nucleotides. Lineage: Eukaryota; Metazoa; Chordata; Mammalia; Carnivora; Canidae. The record is from the annotation of a RefSeq genome assembly.